Molecule: ribosomal RNA, 153 nt
Filed under: Triticum aestivum (bread wheat)
Lineage: Eukaryota; Viridiplantae; Streptophyta; Magnoliopsida; Poales; Poaceae
Description: partial small subunit ribosomal RNA
Source: RNAcentral
UUGGCGGCCUCGGCCUCGGGGUCCUUGGGCUUGACCGGGCGUCCGCGGGGGCGCGGCGAGGCGGGCUUGGGCGGCGCGUUGGGGUCAAUGGGCUUGCGCGGGCGGCCGCGGCCCCGCUUGGGCGGGGCGUCCGGCGCGUCGGUGCGGAAGUAG